This 611-nucleotide long non-coding RNA is filed under the name Anser brachyrhynchus (Pink-footed goose). RNAcentral describes it as "lncRNA (ENSABRG00000020557.1)". The record is from RNAcentral. Lineage: Eukaryota; Metazoa; Chordata; Aves; Anseriformes; Anatidae.
GAUGGAAUAGGUUAUGGGGUGGUAUGGCGUCUAUAUAGGGUGGUUAUGGGGCGAUGGAGUGGGUUAUGGGGUGGUAUGGGGUGUAUAUAGGGUGGUUAUGGGGUGAUGGAGUGGGUUAUGGGGUGUUAUGGGGUAAAUAUAGGGUGGUUAUGGGGCGAUGGAAUAGGUUAUGGGGUGGUAUGGGGUAUAUAUAGGGCGGUUUUGGGGUGACUGAGUGGGUUACGGGGUGGCAUGGGGUAUAUAUAGGGUGGUUAUGGGGUGAUAAAGGAAUCUAGGGGGCACUAUGGGGUGUAUAUAGGGUGGCUAGGGGGCAAUGGGGCAGGUUAUGGGGCGGUGUGGGGAAUCUAUGGGGCAGCUAUGGGGCAGCUAUGGGGCAGCUAUGGGGCAGCCAUGGGGCAGCAGCUCACGUGACCACGGCGUUGGGGUUCUUCUCCACGGCGUAGACGCGGACGCGGCGGGCGGCCUGGCGGGCGGCCCUCAGCGUGGCGUUGACCAGCGGCCCCCGGCCCGCCCCCAGCACCAGCACCACCCUGUGGGGCGGGGGGCGGCGCUCAGCCCCAUAGCCGCCCCAUAGCCGCCCCAUAGCCGCCCCAUAGCCGCCCCACGGCCGC